ACUACCGUAGCUUAACGGAAAAGCGCCCAUUUCGGGUUGAUGGGGGUUCGAUUCCUCCCGAUAGUC
Phytophthora megakarya is the source of this 66-nucleotide transfer RNA. It matches the Rfam family "tRNA". Rfam says of the family: Transfer RNA (tRNA) molecules are approximately 80 nucleotides in length. Their secondary structure includes four short double-helical elements and three loops (D, anti-codon, and T loops). Further hydrogen bonds mediate the characteristic L-shaped molecular structure. tRNAs have two regions of fundamental functional importance: the anti-codon, which is responsible for specific mRNA codon recognition, and the 3' end, to which the tRNAs corresponding amino acid is attached (by aminoacyl-tRNA synthetases). tRNAs cope with the degeneracy of the genetic code in two manners: having more than one tRNA (with a specific anti-codon) for a particular amino acid; and 'wobble' base-pairing, i.e. permitting non-standard base-pairing at the 3rd anti-codon position. NCBI's taxonomy places the organism in Eukaryota, Oomycota, Peronosporomycetes, Peronosporales, Peronosporaceae. The record is from Rfam.